RNAcentral lists this unclassified non-coding RNA (372 nucleotides) under Hevea brasiliensis (rubber tree). The record is from RNAcentral. Lineage: Eukaryota; Viridiplantae; Streptophyta; Magnoliopsida; Malpighiales; Euphorbiaceae.
UGAGGGAUCAACGCCAUUUUAUCAUUUUCCUUUUUUCCACGAGUUCCCAAGCCGAGCGGGUAAGUAAGUGUUCCUCUCCCACUACUCGAAAUAGCUUUGAGGUUGCAGUGUUGCGAGAGAACUUCGAACCUGGUUUGCAAGCACCAAGGAAGUUUGAACCAUUGUUUUCCGCUAGAACAUCGUUAUCAUCAGCAAUCAGAAGCAAAGCCUGCUGUCUAAACUGUGCAUCGAAAUCGUCUUGGUCGUUAACAGCCUCAAAUUCCAAACAAGGGUCUCUGCUUAAAUGCCUGUAGGCCUGAAUUGGAGCAAUUCAAGGGAAGUGCAUGGUGAAAGAAAAUAAACCGGGAUUCAUAUAGAAUCUCUAUUUACCAA